Non-coding RNA from Gekko japonicus, 72 nucleotides. NCBI's taxonomy places the organism in Eukaryota, Metazoa, Chordata, Lepidosauria, Squamata, Gekkonidae. The record is from the annotation of a RefSeq genome assembly.
GGGGCUGUGGCUCAGUGGUAGAGCAUCUGCUUGGAAUGUCGAAGGUCCCAGGUUCAAUCCCUGGCACUUGCA